UACGGAGGAUGCGAGCGUUAUCCGGAUUUAUUGGGUUUAAAGGGAGCGUAGGUGGAUUGUUAAGUCAGUUGUGAAAGUUUGCGGCUCAACCGUAAAAUUGCAGUUGAAACUGGCAGUCUUGAGUACAGUAGAGGUAGGCGGAAUGUAUGGUGUAGCGGUGAAAUGCUUAGAGAUCAUACAGAACACCGAUUGCGAAGGCAGCAUGCCGGCUCCACACUGACGCUGAGGCACGAAAGCGUGGGUAUCGAACAGG
This 253-nucleotide ribosomal RNA is filed under the name uncultured Bacteroides sp. RNAcentral's name for it is "partial 16S ribosomal RNA". It matches the Rfam family "Bacterial small subunit ribosomal RNA", at positions 524 to 776 of the family's 1533-position model. The record is from RNAcentral. Lineage: Bacteria; Pseudomonadati; Bacteroidota; Bacteroidia; Bacteroidales; Bacteroidaceae.